GUAGUCUUUGUCAGAUAAUUAACAAAUAUUCCAACACUGAAAUUCAGCUUUUUGUUUUAUAGAUAUAGAGUGAGUUUGGUUCUGGUGCUGUGGAAUAGGUGAUAUGCUAUCAGGCUUUGAUGGGAUGUGGGGAAAAGUUCCAUAUCACUGUUAUCAAUUCUUGGAGUAUGAUUUAUAUAUCUCUUAGGCAACUUGACUUAAUGUCAAAUGGUGUAAGAUUCUAUACCUCAUUUGGUAAUUAAUUAGAAUAAACUGAUGAGCCUUGAAAUUUUCUUAAAAAAGGGUCCAAUGUGCAAGGCCACACAUCCAUCCAUUUCAGUGCCAAACCCACACAAAGCCUUGAGAUUUGUUUGAUCACCCACACUUUGAUCUAAAAAUGUAGGUGUUAAAAAGCUCUUAUGCUAAUGUAUUAUGUAUUCAUGACUUGUCUACUGAUUUCUUUUGUUGGUUUGAUAAUUUCAAAUUAAUGAUUUGAUUGAUAAUCACAUUAUCUUUUUUUCACAGUAUUCCAAUCUUCGGUUGGCAGAGGAUCCUAAUCUUCGGUUGGGAGUGGCAUUGAAGCAGUGAGCAUUGCAAAUACCUUUUACUUUUGACAUUACAUUUUCCUUCUCAAAUUUCCAUUUAUUUAUAAAAUUUAACUGUAAAAGGUUUUCUAGUUAAACUUAAUGUUGUCCACCAACCUCUUCAUGGGUCUAUUGCUUCUAAAUUUGCUUUUCAAAGAACAAAAUAGAGCGCACUUUUCUGCAAUGCACACAACUGUUUCAAUUAAUUAUGCCACUUUCAGUUUUGAAAACUAACAAUCAAAGUAAGAAAAUUGAAAAAAAGUGAUGAAUAUUAUCCAAGAUGUACCAAAUACUAAGUCAGGCAGUGAUAAUCCAGCAUGCUAUAAUUAUAUAAACCAGGACAAUCAAAUUUUUCCCCGAGCACUCAUUAUGCCACCAACCCUCUAGAAGCAACAAAAACUAGAUGAAAUUAAAGGUAAAAGAUUUCAAACCAGAUAUGAAAUGUGUAUGAAAGAAAUUCAACAGUUCAGACGUCAUUGUUUGAAAUUCAGCACAAUAGAUAUUAAAGAAAUAAGACCCUUUUCUUCUUCAUACAUUAAUUGUUUCCUAUAUAUAUAUAAAAGCAAAAUUAUGUAUGCUAUGUUAAUAUCAACAUGUUUGCUCUAUAAUUUGUUAAUACUGAAGCUGAACAUUUGUUACAACCUGAAGGAGAUGCCCUCAAAUUUGCAUACACUCACCAACUUGAAUUUACACUUAUAAAAGUGACAAAUAUGCCAAUGCAUUUGAGAAAAUUGAAGAAUCUUAAAGUACUAAGUACAUUUUUGUCGAUACAAAUUGCAGUUCAGUAGUAAUAGCGAGCAUUGGUGCAGAAUUUUAUGGAAGCAGGUCUUCUUCAUUUCUGUCUUUGGAAAGAUUGCAAUUCUACAACAUGAACGAAUAGAAUGUAAAACUGCUACUUUUCCGAGUCUUCAAUAGCUUUCUACAUAGAUAUGUCCCAAGUUAAAAAUUUUCAAAGAAACUUCUUCAUUUUUAGGAACUGUAUAUAUAUUUGUGAUAGCAUGGAAACACCAGCUGAAAAGGUAUGUAAAAACUAUCCUAUGUACUGAUUCUUGUAUUUGAAGAAGAAAAAAAUCGCCAUACGACAUAAUACAUGAAAGAACACCCAAGAAUAAACAAUGAUAAUGAAAAACAUGACAAUGUGUAUGAUGUAAACUAUAUUAAUAUUAAUAUUAAUAAUAUAAGAUAAUAG
This 1752-nucleotide long non-coding RNA is filed under the name Phaseolus vulgaris (common bean). RNAcentral's name for it is "long non-coding RNA (PVUL_LNC003236)". The record is from RNAcentral. Lineage: Eukaryota; Viridiplantae; Streptophyta; Magnoliopsida; Fabales; Fabaceae.